RNAcentral lists this ribosomal RNA (497 nucleotides) under uncultured bacterium. RNAcentral's name for it is "partial 16S ribosomal RNA". It matches the Rfam family "Bacterial small subunit ribosomal RNA", at positions 28 to 507 of the family's 1533-position model. The record is from RNAcentral.
GAUGAACGCUGGCGGCGUGCCUAAUACAUGCAAGUCGAGCGAACGGACGAGAAGCUUGCUUCUCUGAUGUUAGCGGCGGACGGGUGAGUAACACGUGGAUAACCUACCUAUAAGACUGGGAUAACUUCGGGAAACCGUAGCUAAUACCGGAUAAUAUUUUGAACCGCAUGGUUCAAAAGUGAAAGACGGUCUUGCUGUCACUUAUAGAUGGAUCCGCGCUGCAUUAGCUAGUUGGUAAGGUAACGGCUUACCAAGGCAACGAUGCAUAGCCGACCUGAGAGGGUGAUCGGCCACACUGGAACUGAGACACGGUCCAGACUCCUACGGGAGGCAGCAGUAGGGAAUCUUCCGCAAUGGGCGAAAGCCUGACGGAGCAACGCCGCGUGAGUGAUGAAGGUCUUCGGAUCGUAAAGCUCUGUUAUUAGGGAAGAACAUAUGUGUAAGUAACUGUGCACAUCUUGACGGUACCUAAUCAGAAAGCCCCGGCUAACUACGUG